RNAcentral lists this ribosomal RNA (520 nucleotides) under uncultured bacterium. RNAcentral's name for it is "partial 16S ribosomal RNA". It matches the Rfam family "Bacterial small subunit ribosomal RNA", at positions 899 to 1397 of the family's 1533-position model. The record is from RNAcentral.
ACUCAAAUGAAUUGACGGGGACUUGCACAAGCGGUGGAUCAGGUGGCUUAAUUCGACGACAAACGAAGAACCUCACCAGGGUUUGAAACUCAACUGAAAGGUCUAGGAAACUAGAUCCCUCUCACAAGGACAGUUGGGCAGGUGAUGCAUGGCCGUCGUCAGUUCGUGGCUUGAGUUGUUCCCUUCAGUGGGGAAACGAACGCAACCCUCGUCGUGUGUUAUACGUGUCACACGAGACUGCCCCCGCCAGAGUUCAUAACAUCAGUGUUGUGGAUUGUGGCGGGGGAGGAAGGCGAGGAUGACGCCAGGUCAGCAUGUCCCUCUGAUAUCCUGGGCUGCACACUUGAUACAAUGGCCGUUACAACGCGUAGCGACGGGGCAACCCUGAGCUAAUCGUUUAAAGACGGCCCCAGUUCGGAUUGCGGUCUGCAACUCGACCGCAUGAAGCCGGAAUCGCUAGUAAUCGCGGGUCAGCUAUACCGCGGUGAAUACGUUCUCAAGUCUUGUACACACCGCCCGU